This 917-nucleotide ribosomal RNA is filed under the name Escherichia coli. Its description in RNAcentral is "bacterial LSU rRNA". It matches the Rfam family "Bacterial large subunit ribosomal RNA", at positions 1 to 935 of the family's 2925-position model. Lineage: Bacteria; Pseudomonadati; Pseudomonadota; Gammaproteobacteria; Enterobacterales; Enterobacteriaceae. The record is from RNAcentral.
GGGUUGUGAGGUUAAGCGACUAAGCGUACACGGUGGAUGCCCUGGCAGUCAGAGGCGAUGAAGGACGUGCUAAUCUGCGAUAAGCGUCGGUAAGGUGAUAUGAACCGUUAUAACCGGCGAUUUCCGAAUGGGGAAACCCAGUGUGUUUCGACACACUAUCAUUAACUGAAUCCAUAGGUUAAUGAGGCGAACCGGGGGAACUGAAACAUCUAAGUACCCCGAGGAAAAGAAAUCAACCGAGAUUCCCCCAGUAGCGGCGAGCGAACGGGGAGGAGCCCAGAGCCUGAAUCAGUGUGUGUGUUAGUGGAAGCGUCUGGAAAGGCGCGCGAUACAGGGUGACAGCCCCGUACACAAAAAUGCACAUGCUGUGAGCUCGAUGAGUAGGGCGGGACACGUGGUAUCCUGUCUGAAUAUGGGGGGACCAUCCUCCAAGGCUAAAUACUCCUGACUGACCGAUAGUGAACCAGUACCGUGAGGGAAAGGCGAAAAGAACCCCGGCGAGGGGAGUGAAAAAGAACCUGAAACCGUGUACGUACAAGCAGUGGGAGCACGCUUAGGCGUGUGACUGCGUACCUUUUGUAUAAUGGGUCAGCGACUUAUAUUCUGUAGCAAGGUUAACCGAAUAGGGGAGCCGAAGGGAAACCGAGUCUUAACUGGGCGUUAAGUUGCAGGGUAUAGACCCGAAACCCGGUGAUCUAGCCAUGGGCAGGUUGAAGGUUGGGUAACACUAACUGGAGGACCGAACCGACUAAUGUUUGAAAAAAAUUUAGCGGAUGACUUUGUGGGCUGGGGGGGGUGAAAAGGCCAAUCAAAACCCGGGAGAUAGCUGGUUUCUCCCCCGAAAGCUAUUUUAGGUAGCGCCUCGUGAAUUCAUCUCCGGGGGUAGAGCACUGUUUCGGCAAGGGGGUCAUCCCGAC